CAUAUGGCACAUCUGAUUACCAAAGGAGCCAUGUUAAAAAAGCACUACCAGUUCUAUCUUAAGGAUUUCUUCUCAAAGACGAAAGUGACUUUUUACCAUGUAGCACAGGGUUAGCUAAAACCAGUCUAUGCAGCCAUGUUAAACAAGAGUCACCAGGAGAAAGCGUUUGCGAAUGUCACGAUGCAUGAAUUUCUGUUCUCAGCAAGCGCUGCAAUCCUGCCCAGUUAUUUUUGCAGUCAGUUAGAUGUAAUUUACACGUUACAAGUGUAGGCUUUCGAGAAGUUAACUCCAUCUAAGAAUGAAGUCCACCUGCACUGAAAAGUAGAAAACAAAUUGGUUGCUUACUUUCAAGCAUUUUCUUGCUCUAAAGUACAGUUCUAUUAAAUAACCUUAAUUUUGUUCUUAUCGAAGGGCUGUCAUUUCAGUGGCACAAGAACCAAGGACAAGUUACAAUACAAACAUUAACGCAGAUGAUUAACUGCGAACAGGAGUACUUCGAGUUUAAACAGGCUCAGAUUACAAAAGCAUUUAGUAACUUGCUUCAGCUUACUCAGAUAAUAAAACACAGUUACUGUAGGCGAUACUACCUUGUAAGAUUUCAAGUAUCUUCUGACUCACCAUGAAACAAUUCAGGCUUUAACUGAAGAUAUUACCCAAAGAAUCCUAGCAGCAAAUCAGAAUUAAUACAGCUGUAAAGUUGUGCAAAAGACAGGUCUUGCCUCUCAUUAGUGAUGGAGUGUGUCAUGAAAAUAUGAAAAGCUGACCUGUAAAAAAGAAUCUGCCAAGAAGCAAAGACUGCAGCAUACAGAAGAGGAAAGGAAUCAAACAGAGAAGAGGAACAUUCUCAACGAUACCAUACAAGCCAACAUAACGUUUAAUUGGAAUGUGGUGGGGCAAAUGAUGAUGCUGAUUUUUUUGGUCAUAUUUUAUAAAGUGAAAACUAAAAUUAGCACAAUCUAGUGAACAGCAAACUGCAUACAUGCAUAAAAUCUGGCUUCUAUUUCUGUCUCUGCAGUAACCAAAUUUACUACGCAAUUUUCAACAUGUUACAUCAUGUACAUACAUUGCUGUUUUCCCAUCCCACUGUCAUGCAGCCAUUAAAACAAAGUGAGAAUACCAGAUGACUUUUAAAUGAACACACGACUGAUUAAGAGAAGACCACAACUACUCACAAAAAGAAGUCAAGGAUGAUCUAAACAAUCUCAUCUUGUUUAAUAGCAUCUUUCAAAAGCAUUCUAAGCAAAACAGCAAUACUUUAAGUCAUUAGUCAACAUACAGAAAAAAAGCAGAUCAAUGUGCUAUUUUUUGCUGCAUGAAUGGGGAAGUUCGUAAUUGCAAAAAAAAAAACAAAAACCUUCACUUGUGUAUAUCAAGCAGGCAUCUUUUCCCAACAAAAAGA
Numida meleagris (helmeted guineafowl) is the source of this 1399-nucleotide long non-coding RNA. RefSeq lists it as uncharacterized. Lineage: Eukaryota; Metazoa; Chordata; Aves; Galliformes; Numididae. The record is from RefSeq and is a predicted model, not a curated record. The transcript has 2 exons.